UUAGGUGACGAUGGCAAGAGGGAUACACCCGUUCCCAUCUCGAACACGGAAGUUAAGUCUCUUAGCGUCGAAAAUACUUGCCGGGCAGCUGGCUGGGAAGAUAGAACGUUGCCUAUU
Molecule: ribosomal RNA, 117 nt
Filed under: Fusibacter sp. A1
Lineage: Bacteria; Bacillati; Bacillota; Clostridia; Eubacteriales; Fusibacteraceae
Also listed under: 1 other name
Source: RNAcentral